Molecule: ribosomal RNA, 505 nt
Filed under: uncultured bacterium
Lineage: Bacteria
Description: partial 16S ribosomal RNA
Rfam family: Bacterial small subunit ribosomal RNA
Source: RNAcentral
GACGAACGCUGGCGGCGUGCCUAACACAUGCAAGUAGAACGCACAGUUUAUACCGUAGCUUGCUACACCAUAGACUGUGAGUUGCGAACGGGUGAGUAACGCGUAGGUAACCUGCCUGGUAGCGGGGGAUAACUAUUGGUAACGAUAGCUAAUACCGCAUAAUAUUAAUUAUUGCAUGAUAAUUAAUUGAAUGGUGCAAUUGUACCACUACCAGAUGGAUCUGCGUUGUAUUAGCUAGUAGGCGAGGUAACGGCUCACCUAGGCGGCGAUACAUAGCCGACCUGAGAGGGAGAUCCGCCACCCUGGGACUGAGACACGGCCCAGACUCCUUCGGGAAGCCGCAAUAGGGAAACUUCGGCAAUUGGCGGAAGUCUGACCGCGGAACGCCGCGUUAGUGAAGAAAGUUUUCGGGUCGUAAAGCUCUGUUGUAAGGGAAGAAAGGGUGUGAGAGUGGAAAGUUCACGCUGUGACGGUAUCUUAACAGAAAGGGACGGCUAACUACGUG